RNAcentral lists this non-coding RNA (367 nucleotides) under Vibrio diazotrophicus. Lineage: Bacteria; Pseudomonadati; Pseudomonadota; Gammaproteobacteria; Vibrionales; Vibrionaceae. The record is from RNAcentral.
AUGUCGUAAUCUUAAGGUGUUGGCAGGAUGCUGGCACGGAAAUGGAAAAGCUCACGGAUAGAGUAUCUUCAGGACGAAGAUUCGAUUGUUCAGGAUGAAUAGUCGGCAAGGAAAGCAAAGGAUAUUAACGUUAAGUUCGAAAUAGCUAGGAUGGUUGUUUUAGAACGGUUAAUAGACAACUUAAGGGACUAAGCGUCUGUCAGGAUGACAGAUUCAGGACACCGCUAGGAUGGCGAUGAAAUGGAAUGCGCUGAAGGAACCAGCAGAUUAUCAAGGAAUAGAUGCAGGGAGCACCUAUUAGUAGCCGGAUUGCUGCGAAGAGAAUAGAACCCCGCUAAGUGAAAACUUAGUGGGGUUUUCUUUUACC